UAGGGAAUCUUCGGCAAUGGACGAAAGUCUGACCGAGCAACGCCGCGUGAGUGAAGAAGGUUUUCGGAUCGUAAAACUCUGUUGUUAGAGAAGAACAAGGAUGAGAGUAAAAUGUUCAUCCCUUGACGGUAUCUAACCAGAAAGCCACGGCUAACUACGUGCCAGCAGCCGCGGUAAUACGUAGGUGGCAAGCGUUGUCCGGAUUUAUUGGGCGUAAAGCGAGCGCAGGCGGUUUCUUAAGUCUGAUGUGAAAGCCCCCGGCUCAACCGGGGAGGGUCAUUGGAAACUGGGAAACUUGAGUGCAGAAGAGGAGAGUGGAAUUCCAUGUGUAGCGGUGAAAUGCGUAGAUAUAUGGAGGAACACCAGUGGCGAAGGCGGCUCUCUGGUCUGUAACUGACGCUGAGGCUCGAAAGCGUGGGGAGCAAACA
Molecule: ribosomal RNA, 428 nt
Filed under: uncultured bacterium
Lineage: Bacteria
Description: bacterial SSU rRNA
Rfam family: Bacterial small subunit ribosomal RNA
Source: RNAcentral